GGGUCUUUUCUAGGGCCGUACCUGCAGCACAUGGAGGUUCCCAGGCGAGGGGUCCAAUCAGAGCUGUAGCUGCCGGCCUACGCCAGAGCCACAGCAACGUGGGAUCUGAGCUGUGUCUGCAACCUACACCACAGCUCACAGCAACACCGGAUCCUUCACCAACUGAGCAAGGCCAGGGAAUCAAACCCACAACCUCAUGUUUCCUUAACCACUGUGCCACGAUGGGAACGCCACAUUUCAUAUUCUAAAUAGAGCUUUAAAAGCCAGGAAAUUUAAGUUUUAUUACUGUUUUAUCACCCAAGUAUGAAUCUCUUGAUACCAUAGUUUAGUCUUGCCUGUUUAAAAAAAAAAAAAAAAAAAAAAAAAAGAUGUUUUCUAAGUCUCUUUUAAUCUACAGGUGUUCCCUCCUGUAAUUAUUCUGUUGAAGAAUCUUCUUGUUUGACCUGUAGAAUUUUCCACAGAAUGGAUUUUGUUCAAGGCACAAAUUAACACAUUCCUGUCCUCUGUAUUUCCUGCAGGCUGUAGCUGGAACCAGACACUUGCUCAGACUCUGGUUUACUCUCUUUGGAAAGACUUUUCUGAUGUAGUUAUUUUGCUGUGUUCAAGGCAUGCGCAAGUUCCAGGCCAGGGAUAAAAACCCUCACUACAGCAAUAACCAGAGCCACAGCAGUGGAUCCUUAAUCCAUUGAGCCACCAGGGAAUUCCUGGCAAGACUUUAGCUGGUGGUGUGUUCUCUCAUCAGGAGGCACACAAUGCCUGAUUGCCUUUCUUUUUGCAAUGUUAUCAAUUGUGUUAAUAUACAAUACCUAGAUCCAUUAAUUUAUUGGAAGUUGCAAAAAGUGGUCUCUAAUUCUAUUUUUCAUUUUUAAUUUGACAUAUUUUACAGAGAGAUGCUUCCCCUCAUCUACAAUCUGGUUACUCAAUACUACAAUUUAGGAGUUCGUUGUGGCUCAGCCACAACAAACCCAACUAGUAUCCAUGAGGAUGAGGGUUCCAUACCUGGCCUUGCUCAUGGGUUAAGAAUCCUACGUUGCUACGACUGUGGCACAGGCUGGCAGCUGCAGCUCUGAUUAGAUCCCUAACCUGGGAACGUCCAUAUACCAUGGAUGUAGGCCUUAAAAAAAAAAAAGUUGGAUGUCAACUGCAAAGGUUGAUUUUAUAUGUUAACUUAGAAGGUGUUUCUGGACGAGAUCAACAUUUAAAUCAGUGAACUAUGUAUGAGUAAACUAGACUGCCAUCCACAACGUGUGUGGGCCUCAUCCAAGUAACUGAAGUCCUGAGUAGAACAAAAAGACCAGCCUCCCCAAGCAAGAGGGAAUUCUCCAGCAGAUUGCUUUCAAACUGGAACUGCACCGUCGGCUCUCUGGUGGCUCCACUUUGCCAGCCUUCACUGAAAUGGCACCACAGGCACUCCCACGUCUGUGCUUAUCAAGCCUGCCAGCCUCUAUUGCUAACAUUGGACCUGACAGCCUCCACAACUGCAUGAGCCAAUUCCUUGUAAUAAAUCUGUCUAUAUACACAUCUUAUCCAUUCUGUUUCUCUGAAGAACCCUCAAACAUUAGAGGUUCUAAUGGAGGUUUAAAGGAGGUCACAUCCACUUAUGGAAUUUCAGAAAAAUUCACAGAACCCAUUUAUUCUUUCACUUAAACAUGUCACAAAUAUUUACCAAGCAUCAGUUAGGAGCUGGGACUACUGUGAGUACUGAUGUGGAUACGGUCCCUUUAAAGAGCUGACAUUUUAAUGUAGGAAACACACAAUAAGUACAUAGAUGUAAGGAGGUGAUAAGGGAUACAAGCAAAACCAAGUAGGGUAAGGGCAAGUUCAGAGUGAGGCAGAGAAGGAGAGAGUGACCAGAGCUCUACUUCAGACAGGGAAGGGCUCUCAUAAGGGAAGAUGCUAUGUGAGAAAAUGUGUGAACGAAGGGAGUAAGCUAAGCAAAGAUGUGUGGGAAGACGUUGUGGUAAACAGCAAUGAAAAGGCAAUGAGAAGAACAGAAUAAGGGAGAGUAGAAAAAUGAGAUAUGCAAUGAGCCAGACCAUGAGGGGCCUGACAAGUGUGGUAGAGAGUAUAGAUUUUAUUCUGAUGGGACAUCACCGAAGAGCAUGGCAUACAUGUUCUGUAUGCUCUUGUAAAGGGAUUUGUUAACAGCUCAGUAAGGAACGGCCUCUACAAGGGUAAUAGUAAAAGCCAGAAGACAUUUAACAAGAUGGUUUAAUGAGUGGAAAGGAUUUUGACAGAUGGAAUACUCUGGAAAAAGCUGACAAAAUCAAGUAGAAAUUUGAGUGCAAAGUUUGAGAGGAGGCUAGACAGUCAUCUGCUUAGGCAUUAGUUCUGAGAACUGAUGUAAUCCCAAGUGAGAGCGUAUAUAAAGAAAGGGGACAACAAUAUCGCUACACGCUUAUCAGAAUGGCCAAAAGAGCUGAAAAUGUAUGUCCACAUAAAAACCUACACUGAAAUGUUUACUGAAUCUUUAUUUUUAACUGCCAAACAUUGGAACCACCAUUCACCUCAGCAGGUGAACAGAGGAAACCUUAAAUGAACUACUAAGUGAAAGAAGCCAAUCUGAAAAGGCGAUAAACUAUAUGAUUCAAUCUAUACAACAUUCUGAAAAAAACAAAACUAUGGAGAUAGUAAAAAGAAUGGUGGGUGCCAGGCGGAGGGGUAGGCAAGUGACAAACAGACGGAGCACAGAGGAUUUUUAGGACAGUGGAAAAUACUCUGUAUGAUACAAGAUGAUGGAUAAAUGAUUCGCCCAUGUUGUCAUAUAUUUGUCUUAAAGAAUGAAUGUGCGACAUCAAAGGUGAAUGCUGGGAUUCCCA
Molecule: long non-coding RNA, 2819 nt
Filed under: Sus scrofa (pig)
Lineage: Eukaryota; Metazoa; Chordata; Mammalia; Artiodactyla; Suidae
Description: lncRNA (ENSSSCG00040026228.1)
Source: RNAcentral